This 434-nucleotide ribosomal RNA is filed under the name uncultured bacterium. RNAcentral's name for it is "partial 16S ribosomal RNA". It matches the Rfam family "Bacterial small subunit ribosomal RNA", at positions 29 to 508 of the family's 1533-position model. The record is from RNAcentral.
AACGAACGCUGGCGGCAUGCCUAACACAUGCAAGUCGAACGAGACCUUCGGGUCUAGUGGCGCACGGGUGCGUAACGCGUGGGAACCUGCCCUUAGGUUCGGAAUAACUCCCCGAAAGGGGUGCUAAUACCGGAUAAUGUCUUCGGACCAAAGAUUUAUCGCCUUUGGAUGGGCCCGCGUUGGAUUAGCUAGUUGGUAGGGUAAAAGCCUACCAAGGCGACGAUCCAUAGCUGGUCUGAGAGGAUGAUCAGCCACACUGGGACUGAGACACGGCCCAGACUCCUACGGGAGGCAGCAGUGGGGAAUAUUGGACAAUGGGCGAAAGCCUGAUCCAGCAAUGCCGCGUGAGUGAUGAAGGCCUUAGGGUUGUAAAGCUCUUUUACCCGGGAGGAUAAUGACAGUACCGGGAGAAUAAGCUCCGGCUAACUCCGUGC